AGUUGUAAUUUGCAGAGGGCGCUUUGGCUUUGGCAGCGGUCCAAGUUCCUUGGAACAGGACGUCACAGAGGGUGAGAAUCCCGUACGUGGUCGCUAGCUAUUGCCGUGUAAAGCCCCUUCGACGAGUCGAGUUGUUUGGGAAUGCAGCUCUAAAUGGGAGGUAAAUUUCUUCUAAAGCUAAAUAUUGGCCAGAGACCGAUAGCGCACAAGUAGAGUGAUCGAAAGAUGAAAAGCACUUUGGAAAGAGAGUCAAACAGCACGUGAAAUUGUUGAAAGGGAAGCGCUUGCAGCCAGACUUGCUUGCAGUUGCUCAUCCGGGCUUUUGCCCGGUGCACUCUUCUGCAGGCAGGCCAGCAUCAGUUUGGGCGGUGGGAUAAAGGUCUCUGUCAUGUACCUCUCUUCGGGGAGGCCUUAUAGGGGAGGCGACAUACCACCAGCCUAGACUGAGGUCCGCGCAUCUGCUAGG
RNAcentral lists this ribosomal RNA (466 nucleotides) under Exserohilum rostratum. RNAcentral's name for it is "eukaryotic LSU rRNA". It matches the Rfam family "Eukaryotic large subunit ribosomal RNA", at positions 141 to 622 of the family's 3401-position model. The record is from RNAcentral. Lineage: Eukaryota; Fungi; Ascomycota; Dothideomycetes; Pleosporales; Pleosporaceae.